ACAGCAGUCGCCGCGGGAAUACGUAGGUGGCAAGCGUUGUCCGGAAUUAUUGGGCGUAAAGGGCUCGCAGGCGGUUUCUUAAGUUUGAUGUGAAAGCCCCCGGCUCAACCGGGGAGGGUCAUUGGAAACUGGGAAACUUGAGUGCAGAAGAGGAGAGUGGAAUUCCACGUGUAGCGGUGAAAUGCGUAGAGAUGUGGAGGAACACCAGUGGCGAAGGCGACUCUCUGGUCUGUAACUGACGCUGAGGAGCGAAAGCGUGGGGAGCGAACAGGAUUAGAUACCCGUGUAGUCCCUGUCUCUUAUAC
RNAcentral lists this ribosomal RNA (305 nucleotides) under uncultured bacterium. Its description in RNAcentral is "partial 16S ribosomal RNA". It matches the Rfam family "Bacterial small subunit ribosomal RNA", at positions 508 to 807 of the family's 1533-position model. The record is from RNAcentral.